This 253-nucleotide ribosomal RNA is filed under the name uncultured bacterium. Its description in RNAcentral is "partial 16S ribosomal RNA". It matches the Rfam family "Bacterial small subunit ribosomal RNA", at positions 524 to 776 of the family's 1533-position model. The record is from RNAcentral.
UACGAAGGGGGCUAGCGUUGUUCGGAAUCACUGGGCGUAAAGCGCACGUAGGCGGAUGUGUCAGUCAGGGGUGAAAUCCCGGAGCUCAACUUCGGAACUGCCUCUGAUACAGCACGUCUUGAGUUCGAGAGAGGUGGGUGGAAUUCCUAGUGUAGAGGUGAAAUUCGUAGAUAUUAGGAAGAACACCGGUGGCGAAGGCGGCCCACUGGAUCGGUACUGACGCUGAGGUGCGAAAGCGUGGGGAGCAAACAGG